AGCAGCCGCGGUAAUUCCAGCUCCAAUAGCGUAUAUUAAAGUUGUUGCAGUUAAAAAGCUCGUAGUUGAAUUUCGGGGUUAGUAGGUUGGUCAUGCCUCUGGUAUGUACUGGUCUCACUGAUUCCUCCUUCCUGAUGAACCUUAAUGCCAUUUAUUUGGUGUUUUGGGGAAUUUGGACUGUUACUUUGAAAAAUUAGAGUGUUUAAAGCAAGCUAACGCUUGAAUACAUUAGCAUGGAAUAAUGAAAUAGGACGUUCGAUCCUAUUUUGUUGGUUUCUAGGAUUGACGUAAUGAUUAAUAGGGAUAGUUGGGGGCAUUAGUAUUCAAUUGUCAGAGGUGAAAUUCUUGGAUUUAUUGAAGACUAACUACUGCGAAAGCAUUUGCCAAGGAUGUUUUCAUUAAUCAAGAACGAAAGUUAGGGGAUCGAAGACGAUCAGAUACCGUCGUAGUCUUAACCAUAAACUAUGCCGACUAGGGAUCGGAUGAUGUUAAUUUUUUAAUGUACUCAUUCGGCGCCUUA
RNAcentral lists this unclassified non-coding RNA (520 nucleotides) under uncultured Glomus. Its description in RNAcentral is "SSU rRNA". It matches the Rfam family "Eukaryotic small subunit ribosomal RNA", at positions 569 to 1090 of the family's 1831-position model. The record is from RNAcentral. Lineage: Eukaryota; Fungi; Glomeromycota; Glomeromycetes; Glomerales; Glomeraceae.